UACGAACCGUCCAAACGUUAUUCGGAAUUACUGGGUUUAAAGGGUACGUAGGCGGCGCUGUUAGUCGGGUGUGAAAUCCCUCGGCUCAACCGAGGAAUUGCGCCCGAUACUGCAGUGCUUGAGGGAGACAGAGGUAAGCGGAACUGAUGGUGGAGCGGUGAAAUGCGUUGAUAUCAUCAGGAACACCGGUGGCGAAAGCGGCUUACUGGGUCUCUUCUGACGCUGAGGUACGAAAGCUAGGGGAGCGAACAGG
RNAcentral lists this ribosomal RNA (253 nucleotides) under uncultured bacterium. RNAcentral describes it as "partial 16S ribosomal RNA". It matches the Rfam family "Bacterial small subunit ribosomal RNA", at positions 524 to 776 of the family's 1533-position model. The record is from RNAcentral.